Molecule: ribosomal RNA, 253 nt
Filed under: uncultured bacterium
Lineage: Bacteria
Description: partial 16S ribosomal RNA
Rfam family: Bacterial small subunit ribosomal RNA
Source: RNAcentral
GACAGGGGGCUCGAGCGUUACUCGGAAUGACUGGGCGUAAAGGGCGCGUAGGCGGUUUGUUUCGUUAGGCGUGAAAUUCCUGGGCUCAACCUGGGGACUGCGCUUAAGACAAGCAGACUGGAGUGUGAAAGAGGGUCGUGGAAUUCCCAGUGUAGAGGUGAAAUUCGUAGAUAUUGGGAAGAACACCGGUGGCGAAGGCGGCGACCUGGUUCAUUACUGACGCUGAGGCGCGAAAGCGUGGGGAGCAAACAGG